This 139-nucleotide unclassified non-coding RNA is filed under the name soil metagenome. RNAcentral's name for it is "partial internal transcribed spacer 1". The record is from RNAcentral.
CAUUCAGUAGCCCAGCUACUUGUUUACACCCUUGUCUUUUUGCGUACUUAUCGUUUCCUCGGCGGGCUUGCCUGCCGGUUGGACAACUUUAUAACCCUUUUAAAUCUUCGAUCAGCGUCUGAAUAAUAUACAAUAAUUA